ACGGCUCAGUAACACGUGGCCAAACUACCCUGUAGACAGGAAUACUCUCGGGAAACUGAGGCUAAUACCUGAUACGGUUCUCAUGCUGGAGUGCAGAGAACCUCAAACGCUCAGGCGCUACAGGAUGUGGCUGCGGCCGAUUAGGUAGACGGUGGGGUAACGGCCCACCGUGCCGAUAAUCGGUACGGGUUGUGAGAGCAAGAGCCCGGAGACGGAAUCUGAGACAAGAUUCCGGGCCCUACGGGGCGCAGCAGGCGCGAAACCUUUACACUGCACGCCAGUGCGAUAAGGGGACCCCAAGUGUGAGGGCAUAUAGCCCUCACUUUUGUGUACCGUAGGGAGGUACACGAAUAAGAGCUGGGCAAGACCGGUGCCAGCCGCCGCGGUAAUACCGGCAGCUCGAGUGAUGACCGAUUUUAUUGGGCCUAAAGCGUCCGUAGCUGGCCGCGUAGGUUCGUCGGGAAAUCCACCUGCUCAACAGGUGGGCGUCCGGCGAAAACCACGUGGCUUGGGACCGGAAGGCUCGAGGGGUACGUCCGGGGUAGGAGUGAAAUCCCGUAAUCCUGGACGGACCGCCGAUGGCGAAAGCACCUCGAGAAGACGGAUCCGACAGUGAGGGACGAAAGCUGGGGUCUCGAACCGGAUUAGAUACCCGGGUAGCCCCAGCCGUAAACAAUGCCUGUUAGGUGUGGCACCGACUACGAGUCGGUGCUGUGCCGUAGGGAAGCCGAUAAACAGGCCGCCUGGGAAGUACGUCCGCAAGGAUGAAACUUAAAGGAAUUGGCGGGGGAGCAC
RNAcentral lists this ribosomal RNA (795 nucleotides) under uncultured haloarchaeon. RNAcentral describes it as "bacterial SSU rRNA". It matches the Rfam family "Archaeal small subunit ribosomal RNA", at positions 85 to 879 of the family's 1478-position model. Lineage: Archaea; Methanobacteriati; Methanobacteriota; Halobacteria; Halobacteriales; Halobacteriaceae. The record is from RNAcentral.